AUUGAACGCUGGCGGCAUGCCUUACACAUGCAAGUCGAACGGCAGCACGGGGGCAACCCUGGUGGCGAGUGGCGAACGGGUGAGUAAUGCAUCGGAACGUGCCCAGUAGUGGGGGAUAACUAGUCGAAAGAUUAGCUAAUACCGCAUACGACCUACGGGUGAAAGCGGGGGAUUCGCAAGAACCUCGCGCUAUCGGAGCGGCCGAUGUCUGAUUAGCUAGUUGGCGGGGAAAAGCCCACCAAGGCUUCGAUCAGUAGCUGGUCUGAGAGGACGACCAGCCACACUGGGACUGAGACACGGCCAGACUCCUACGGGAGCAGCAGUGGGGAAUUUUGGACAAUGGGCGCAAGCCUGAUCCAGCCAUGCCGCGUGC
This 373-nucleotide ribosomal RNA is filed under the name uncultured bacterium. Its description in RNAcentral is "bacterial SSU rRNA". It matches the Rfam family "Bacterial small subunit ribosomal RNA", at positions 30 to 404 of the family's 1533-position model. The record is from RNAcentral.